GAUGAACGCUGGCGGCGUGCCUAAUACAUGCAAGUCGAGCGAACGGACGAGAAGCUUGCUUCUCUGAUGUUAGCGGCCGACGGGACAGUAACACGUGGAUAAACUACCUAUAAGACUUUGAUAACUUCGGGAAACCGGAGCUAAUACCGGAUAAUAUUUUGAACCGCAUGGUUCAAAAGUGAAAGACGGUCUUGCUGUCACUUAUAGAUGGAUCCGCCCUGCAUUAGCUACUUGGUAAGGUAACGGCUUACCAAGGCAACGAUGCAUAGCCGACCUGAGAGGGUGAUCGGCCACACUGGAACUGAGACACAGUCCAGACUCCUACGGGAGGCAGCAGUAGGGAAUCUUCCGCGAUGGGCGAAAGCCUGACGGAGCAACGCCGCGUGAGUGAUGAAGGUCUUCGGAUCGUAAAACUCUGUUAUUAGGGAAGUACAUAUGUGUAAGUACCUGUGCACAUCUUGACGGUACCUAAUCAGAAAGCCACGGCUAACUACGUG
RNAcentral lists this ribosomal RNA (497 nucleotides) under uncultured bacterium. RNAcentral's name for it is "partial 16S ribosomal RNA". It matches the Rfam family "Bacterial small subunit ribosomal RNA", at positions 28 to 507 of the family's 1533-position model. The record is from RNAcentral.